Molecule: long non-coding RNA, 1501 nt
Filed under: Parus major (Great Tit)
Lineage: Eukaryota; Metazoa; Chordata; Aves; Passeriformes; Paridae
Description: lncRNA (ENSPMJG00000019259.1)
Source: RNAcentral
CUUAACUGUUUUUGAAAGAAAAAGUAUUCUCUUAGGUGCAUGAUACAUUUCAAUGAGUACCUUGAAACAAGAGGAAGGUGAGCAUAUUUAUUAGGGUAAAAAUGGAACUCCUGAUUUCCUCAGGUGAUUUAAAGAGCUUGCAAGCAAUAUGGUAAUAGGGAGUACAAAGGUUUUUUUGAUGCUUGUAAACAGCGAUAAUUCUUUGGUGCGAUAUAAUGAGGUACUGACAAGGGUCAGAGAUUUCCCGGGCUAAUUCUGAUAGAUUUUGUUUUUCUCUCUCUGGCACGGGCCAAGAGGGGCCCGGGCCAGGGUUGCUGUUUGAGCCCCGGUUCGGGUUUUGAGCUUUCAGCCCUUCUUUGAACAUGCGUCUGUUAGGUCAGGUGAAGGAAAGAAGGGGGGACUUCCUUCUGGUUUGCAAUUCACAGAUUUAUUUUGUAAGGGGAAAUCCAGGAGAAAAGACAAAGAACGAGGGUCUGAUCGUCACCUUUUAAAGGGUUCAUGCCCUGGGGGGCUGGGAAUUUUAAGAACCAGUUAGAAGUUACAGCUGGUGGGAACACAAACUUUCUACGACUAAAAUACCAACAGGUAAAGAUAAGCGGUAACGGACAUGCGAAUUCUCUAAUUCUGAGGAUUAGGGGUUUUUUCACAGGCGGGGUGGAGCCGCAGGAGAAAGGGGGAAGAGAUCGGUCCACCUGAGCCUCUGCCACUGGGACACGAGAAAGCACGGGUAAAAGCGGCAGAGACACCGCACCGGGGCCGGAGUAACAAAAAGCGAAUCCCCCGCGGAGGCGACGACCGCCCGCACCGGGACUGGCGCAGGGCUGGAGCGCCGCAGGGGAAAACGAGCAAGCCGCAAGGUAACGCUGGCUCCGGGGCCCCGACAACAAAGGAGCAGGUCUCCCUCGGCCGCGCGGGCCGCCCGGAGGGAAAACGGAGGCGGACACAGUGCGGGGAGAAACACGAGCUGAAGCCGGAGCCCGGGCUCACGCGGGCUGGGCCCUGCGGUGCCCGCAGCCACAGCCCCCCGCGGGCGGCGGGGACAGCGGCGGGGACAAACCCCCGCGGGCGGCGGGGACAAACCCCCGCGGGCGGCGGGGACAAACCCCCGCGGGCGGCGGGGACAAACCCCCGCGGGCGGCGGGGACAAACCCCCGCUGAAGCCGGAGCCCGGGCUCACGCGGGCUGGGCCCUGCGGUGCCCGCAGCCACAGCCCCCCGCGGGCGGCGGGGACAGCGGCGGGGACAGCCCCCCGCGGGCGGCUGGGACGGCGGCAGCAGCGGGAAAAGGGGAGAGCGGUGGGGAGAACCCGGCAGAAGCUUUAAUCGCGGCAGCGAGGGGGAUGGGCGUACAUCCCAGCCACGGUCGAAGGGAAAAAAGCCUCCAACCUAGCUGGCAAACUAAAAAGCCCACCACAACAAGCAAUCCUGCCUUCUUACAGCGUGGCUCCUUCAAACUCGGUGUAUUUUGUGCCUGUCCAUUAAUUAUACCCUCAAGACAUUAG